RNAcentral lists this long non-coding RNA (2193 nucleotides) under Homo sapiens (human). RNAcentral describes it as "non-protein coding lnc-FAM43A-12:1". Lineage: Eukaryota; Metazoa; Chordata; Mammalia; Primates; Hominidae. The record is from RNAcentral.
UCUCAAAAAAAAAAAAAAAAAGAAAAAAAAAAGAAAAAGCAAGCCACUUAUUAUGUGGUUUUCAGGAAUAUCAGUUGGUAAGAAAGUGGGAAUUGCCUAUUCUUGUAUGAACUAUUAGGUGCUAUGUGGACACAGUUUAAGGAAGGGAUGAGUGUGGAGUGGAAACGUCUACCACACUGAAGUAGGUGGCUGUGUUUCGAGCUUAAUCUUUGUGAUAUAGUAUCACUGCUAGCAUAUCUUUUUUGUUUCUGAGUAGGUAUGUUUGACUCCAAAAACUUGGUAAGGACCAGACAAGGGAGGUCAAUUAGAGUUAAAUGUGUUUGCCAAAGCUGAUGGUAGCGACCGCUUGGGCUACUGGGUUGAAAAUAGUCCUGAGGCCAAAUCCACGUGUAGAGGGAGAGAGUACUAAGAUUGAUCAGCAAUGUCUCAGAGCACAUGGAGGAGAGAAUGGAAGCAAGAAUGCCAGGCAGUUAUGAUGAUCUUCUUAGAUCCUUUUUUUGGAAGACAAGAGCUCUUGGUUGGCCAGUUGGCCUUGUCCUAGUCAAAGGAAGUGCCAUUUAUUUUCUAAGCAACUAUGUGCACCACGAAAUUCAGUGUGUGGUGCAAAGCCAGGUGACCCUUGGCUAAAAGCCCCAGUUGAAAGGUUCCCAAAGAAGGUGAAGAAUUUAGUACAAUCACUCUCUAUGGCCACUUAUUCUAUUUUUAUUCAUUCAUCAUGCAGAAUUUUUCUGUUUGUGAGGUAUUUAAGAACAUGGCACAAGAAGCCAAGCUGUUUCAAAGAAUAAUGGUCAAUGUCCAUUAUCCAUGUCCAGGCUUGUGAUCACUGGCCCUUUAGAAAGCUGCGCAUGACACUCCUGUUCCACCCCCUCUUAUAUCCCAGCACUCAGCAGCAUGAGGCACGGUCAGCAGCAGCCCAUACCACACCUUUGUGGGAAUUUGAAAAACAGAUCUCCUCUAGGUUAUAGCCCCAUGGAACACAGCUUGGCAAGCAGACCUGGGUUGGUUUUCAUUUCCCACUCACCCCGUGACAUGGGUCCUUUUGCAUGCCACCACCAUCAAGACCACAUAUGGCCACCUUGCCUUCAUACUAAGAAAUCUAAUUUAAUUCAUGACCAAUAGCCAUCGCCCCCAAAUAAAUUACAAUAACUUUGUGAAAAGCCUGUAGGAAUAAACACAAUUAUAUGCAUUCAUUAUCAUCACCCAUUAAAAACCAUAAGUACCAAAGGUCACAAAUCCCUGACUUAGAUAUUUGGGAGUCCCAAGGCAUCACGAGACUGAGUGAUUGAAAAUUUCAUUGUGUGUCAUGAACAAAGCUGAACCCUGUACAGUCUAGUGGCCCAAAGUCCAUAUCAAACAGAAGCAAAUGUUUGCUAAGCUGAAUAGGCUAGUGAGUAAUUCAAAGACGGUUGGAAGGAAAUAUCAUAAACCUUUGUUCAUGCAGAAUGCAAAGGCCUGGCAAAAGGACGCUGAGUGAGCCAAGUUUGAAUAGGCUGUUACUUUAAUGAAGAAGUAAUAGGGAAUCUGGCCAUCUGGAGGGUGUGGCAGUUACUUUGAAAAGAAGCUCUAAUUUGCAUAAGCAAGUACUGAAUGAGGGAAUUUUGGAUUCAGAUGUCUGUGGAAUGGCUCUGCUGGUUUGGAGCCUUAGGCAGGUGGGACAUAGAUUUUGGGACCGGUCAUUUAUUUUAAUGUGCGUUAUAUGGACGUGUGUGGGUGUGUGUUUGCAUGUGGGUGUGUGUGUGUGUGUGUGUGCAUGUGCGUGCACAUGUGCAUGUGAUUUGGGUGAUAGAGGCAUUGAAUUAGCCCACAUUUAUCCCCACUCAUGGGCUAAUCCUUCUUCUCUUCUCUCUUCCUAAUUCCAGUUAAUGGUGGCUCUAUCAUUCCCUUUGUCCUCUAAGCCAGAGAUUCAGAAGUAAUGCUAGAUGCUUCCCUCUCCCUCACUUUAAUCUGUUACUCAUAACUUAAAUUUGCGGCCGGGCAUGGUGGCUCAUGCCUGUAAUUCCGGCACUUUGGGAGGCCGAGGUGGGUGGAUUACCUGAGGUCAGGAGUUCGAGACUAGCCAGGCCGACAUGGUGAAACCCCGUCUCUACUAAAAAUACAAAAAUUAGCUGGUGGUGGGUGCCUGUAAUCCCAGCUACUCAGGAGGCUGAGGCAGGAGAAUCUCUUGAACCCGGGAGGUGGAGGUUGCAGUGAGCC